RNAcentral lists this ribosomal RNA (253 nucleotides) under uncultured bacterium. Its description in RNAcentral is "partial 16S ribosomal RNA". It matches the Rfam family "Bacterial small subunit ribosomal RNA", at positions 524 to 776 of the family's 1533-position model. The record is from RNAcentral.
UACAGAGGUCUCAAGCGUUGUUCGGAUUCAUUGGGCGUAAAGGGUGCGUAGGCGGCGCGGUAAGUCGGGUGUGAAAUCUUGGAGCUUAACUCCGAAACUGCAUUCGAUACUGCCGUGCUUGAGGACUGGAGAGGAGACUGGAAUUUACGGUGUAGCGGUGAAAUGCGUAGAUAUCGUAAGGAAGACCAGUGGCGAAGGCGGCUUCCUGGCCUGUAACUGACGCUGAGGAGCGAAAGCGUGGGGAGCGAACAGG